Molecule: ribosomal RNA, 368 nt
Filed under: uncultured organism
Description: bacterial LSU rRNA
Rfam family: Bacterial large subunit ribosomal RNA
Source: RNAcentral
CUUUACUGUAGCUUUACAUUGGACUUUGAACAGAUCUGUGUAGGAUAGGUGGGAGGCUUUGAAGUGCGGACGCUAGUUCGCAUGGAGCCAACGUUGAAAUACCACCCUGGUGUGUUUGAGGUUCUAACCUUGGCCCAUGAAUCUGGGUUGGGGACAGUGUAUGGUGGGCAGUUUGACUGGGGCGGUCUCCUCCCAAAGUGUAACGGAGGAGUUCGAAGGUACGCUAGGUACGGUCGGAAAUCGUGCUGAUAGUGCAUAGGCAUAAGCGUGCUUGACUGCGAGACUGACAAGUCGAGCAGGUAGGAAACUAGGACUAAGUGAUCCGGUGGUUCUGUAUGGAAGGGCCAUCGCUCAACGGAUAAAAGGUA